This is a long non-coding RNA of Alligator mississippiensis (American alligator), 2499 nucleotides long. RefSeq lists it as uncharacterized. The transcript is spliced from 3 exons. NCBI's taxonomy places the organism in Eukaryota, Metazoa, Chordata, Crocodylia, Alligatoridae. The record is from RefSeq and is a predicted model, not a curated record.
AGGGCCUGGGGCAGGUGGGUGCUUUGUCAGGGAGAAGAGAGGGCUCUCUUGGCUGGAAGUCAGGAUGGGGACACUGGAGUGCUGCCUUGCUUAUAUUAUUCAUAAAGCUGCUUAAGGACUUAAAUGGCACAAAGAAAGUACAUCUAGAAACUGCCAUGGGCUUAGUUCUGUCUGCUUUCACCUUUUCUGCCCCCUCUCCACAUGAGAGGUUUGGCACUGAAGGCACGGUUGGGGCAUUUGGCCUCCUGUGAAGUUUCUCCCCAGCUAUGUGGUCUCAGGCCCUAUCCCAUGUGGGAUCUUUCAUUUACAUCCAGAUACUUACUGGAAUCCAAGCAAAAGACCUUCUUCAAACCCAUCUUCUGCAGGAGCGUCUCCCUGGAAGAACAGUGUCCUGAUCCUGGCUGUGAUUAUUUCAGCAUCCUCAGCAGUGGACAUUUCUAUUGGCUUGCGAUGUUAAGUGCACGAGUUUGUGGGACAGCACAGCGCAGCACCAUGGACAGCUCUGCGAUCGGACCCAGAAAGCUCUCCUGUCUGCCCCGAGGCCUCUUGGGUUACGUACCUGCAGAAGACUCCUUCACCCUUGAAACCCUCUGAAGAGCUUCAGGCCAACACGGCUACAACCUAUACCCAUGAUGACAGAGGCAGCCGUCCUACAGAACUGUGCCGACUAGUUUGGACUUCUGCUCCCAGAAACCCCAAGGGAAUUGGGAACAAAGGAAGAGGAAGUGACAAAGCAGACAAGGGAGCAACUGGGGAUCAGAGCAGGCCUCAUGGCAGCUCUGCCACUCGGCUGGUGGCAGUCCUACAUUAGUUAAAUUUGCAGUUAAGCUGCAUUAUAAUAGUAUCCUGACAUUAAUAAUUGUCUUUCCCUUUCCCCGCACCUGUUAUUUCAUACAAUCCUGAGAAUUUAAAUUAAUCAAAUUGAAAGAAAUGCUUAAAAAUAAACAUCAAUAUUAUCCAUCAAAAUUUACUAAAAAAAAAAUCAAAUUCUGCCAAGCCUAUGUAUAUUGUGUGCAAUUUUCACAGCACUUAGCAAAUAAGACCUCAAACUCUGUUUUUAGUCUAUACAAGCAUCCGAAAUGCAAUUAUUCUGCCCAAUAUAUACAUUUCUUUCCCAUUUCAUGCAUCUAUUAACACUUUGUAAAUCUCUUCUCUAUGUUUCAUCUCUCUCUCUCUUCCUCGGGGACAAUAUAUAUCAUUCGCCACACACGCACAAUGCCCAUUUAGCAUAUUCUUCCUAUCAUUUUAAAAGAGACCUCUUUUCUAAUUUUCAAAUAUCUCCUAGCACUGCUAUGAUGGCACUUUAAAGUAAUUUAAAUAUAGCCUGGAAAUAAUUUUAAUCCCCUGACUCUUUCCUUCCCUCCCCUCUGUAUUCUACCCCAUAAAUGUAUUGCUUUUAAUGGUGUUGCCAUGUGACACUAAUGGUAAAAAACAGGCCAGAAUCCACAGAGAAUAUGAAAUGUAAUUGCACUGUUUCUAGGAAUAACUCAUAAGAAUUGGCGGUUGAUGUACUAAUUUUUUCAGCAACCUCUUGGAGUGCAAUGUUGUUUAUCCCCUGAAAUGGGGAAACAAUGCUACCUUAUUCAAGUUGCCUUGCAAAGACUCAUUGUAGCAUGGACGGGAAAUAUCAGCUAGACAAGCAUAUCAAUCCUGAAUUUUGUUUUCAAUGACAUGUUCAGUGUUACUUUUAAAAUGAAUUGCCAGAGUGUUAAUAUGGAUUUCUCUCUGGCUGUGGUUUGGAUUCACUUCAUCAAUGGGCAAGACUGAAUCAACUUCUCCUUUUCAAAUGGGAGUAGGGGACCAUUUAGUUCUUACGUUUCAGGCGGACUGGGUAAUGUGUAAUUUAUUCCCUUCACUAUUAUUCUUCACUGCUUUUUCUGCAGUGCUGUAUGAAUACUGUAUGUUUGGGGUACCUUUGGAUUUUGCACUUAGUCAUCCAUCUCUGCACCUACUUUACUUUCAGAUCCCAUCUGAACACUUGAGAUGUGUAGAUAGAUAGCUUUAGGGGCAUUUAAAGAUGCUUAACAGACCUUCCUAAAAUUCACUAGUUAACCAGUCAUCUUCAUCCCUCUGCCUAAAGUAGGGCAGUGCUGUUAGCACCAUUUUAAAGAUGGGGAAAACUGAGGUACAGAGACUGAGGGCAGCCUAAAGUCCUGGCAUCAAAGUCUGCUCCUAUUCCAUCUUGUUCAAAUGCCUAAAAAGGCAUUCACUUUUUACCUUGUUUUGGAGACCCAAGCAGGGUGGGAUAGUACCACCUACACGUUUCACAGGUGGGACAGGAUCUGGUCCCGAAUGACUUGGCCCUAAUCGCACAAAGGUCUGUAGCAGAGUAGGGAACACAGCCUGUCUGUCCUUAGUCCCAGGUUUCCACUUGAACCGCUCAUCCUCAAUAAAGUUUGCGUUUUGAUCACGGUGCACGGAGUAACUUCACAUACAAACCCGAACCCCUCACCUCGGCAACUUUCUGCAAGGAUUAUUGAGUAUGUAGCUUGCCUUUAG